Molecule: ribosomal RNA, 309 nt
Filed under: uncultured bacterium
Lineage: Bacteria
Description: bacterial SSU rRNA
Rfam family: Bacterial small subunit ribosomal RNA
Source: RNAcentral
AAAUGACGGUACCUGACUAAGAAGCCCCGGCUAACUACGUGCCAGCAGCCGCGGUAAUACGUAGGGGGCAAGCGUUAUCCGGAUUUACUGGGUGUAAAGGGAGCGUAGACGGCAUGGCAAGCCAGAUGUGAAAGCCCGGGGCUCAACCCCGGGACUGCAUUUGGAACUGUCAGGCUAGAGUGUCGGAGAGGAAAGCGGAAUUCCUAGUGUAGCGGUGAAAUGCGUAGAUAUUAGGAGGAACACCAGUGGCGAAGGCGGCUUUCUGGACGAUGACUGACGUUGAGGCUCGAAAGCGUGGGGAGCAAACAA